CCAUUCAUCAACUGACAGACACUUGAGUUGUUUCCACUUUUUGGCUAUUAUUCUAAUUUCAACACAUCCUCACCAACACUUGUUACUGUCUUUUUUAUUAUAUCCUAGUGGGUAAAAAGUGUUACCUCAUUGUAGUUUUGAUUUGCAUUGCCCUGAUAAUGAUGUUGAGCAUUGUUUCAGGUGUAUAUUGGCCAUUGAACUGUGGACUAUACAAAUAAUAUGUUCAAAUCCUUUGUCCAUUUUUUGUUUGUUUGUUUGUUUUGAGAGAGGGUCUCACCCUGUCACCCAGGCUGGAGUGCAGUGGCACGAUCUUGGCUCACUGCAACCUCUGCCUCCCAGGUUUCAGCAAUUCUUAUGCCUCAACCUCCUGAGUAGCUAGGAUUACAGUCAUGUGCCACCACACCCGGCUAAUUUUUGUAUUUUUUUAGUAGAGACAGGGUUUUGCCAUGUUGGCCAGGUGUGGUAGUACAUGCCUAUAGUCCUAGCUACUCAGGAGGCUGAGGUGGGAGGAUCACGUAAGCCUGGAAGGCAGAGGUUGCAUGAGCCAAGAUCAUGCCACUGCACUCCAGCCUGGGUGACAAAGGGAUACUCUGUCUCAAAAAAAAA
Molecule: long non-coding RNA, 606 nt
Filed under: Homo sapiens (human)
Lineage: Eukaryota; Metazoa; Chordata; Mammalia; Primates; Hominidae
Description: HSALNT0171353
Source: RNAcentral